AAUUGAAGAGUUUGAUCAUGGCUCAGAUUGAACGCUGGCGGCAGGCCUAACACAUGCAAGUCGAGCGGUAGCACAGAGAGCUUGCUCUCGGGUGACGAGCGGCGGACGGGUGAGUAAUGUCUGGGAAACUGCCUGAUGGAGGGGGAUAACUACUGGAAACGGUAGCUAAUACCGCAUAACGUCGCAAGACCAAAGUGGGGG
This 201-nucleotide ribosomal RNA is filed under the name Klebsiella ornithinolytica. Its description in RNAcentral is "Raoultella ornithinolytica partial 16S ribosomal RNA". It matches the Rfam family "Bacterial small subunit ribosomal RNA", at positions 1 to 212 of the family's 1533-position model. The record is from RNAcentral. Lineage: Bacteria; Pseudomonadati; Pseudomonadota; Gammaproteobacteria; Enterobacterales; Enterobacteriaceae.